UUGUACACACCGCCCGUCACACCAUGGGAGCUGGUAUGCCCGAAGUCGGUUUUGUUAACUACGGAGACAACUGCCUAAGGCAGGACUGGUGACUGGGGUGAAGUCGUAACAAGGUAUCCCUACGAGAACGUGGGGAUGGAUUACCUCCUUUCUACGGAGUACAUAAAUUACUAUUUAAAUAGUAAUAACGACAUUUACAACUGACUUAAGUUCAUAUUUUUAAAUAUUUGUCAUGUUCUAUUGUUUAAGUCCAAUAGGUAUAUCUAGUUUUGAGAGAACAUCUCUCAAAAGUUCUUUGAAAACUGAAUAGUAAAGUUAAUUAAAUAUAACAACGACAUCAAAUAAAAUUUAAACAAAUGUCUAUUUGUUUUGAUUUACCGAGUUAUUUUUUCGAAAUAAUUCAUUAAAAUGUCUUGAAUAUACAUCAACAAUAGGUAAAUAUUGUACUUUUAAAUAAGUAAGAGUUUAUGGUGGAUGCCUUGGGUCUGGAAGUCGAUGA
RNAcentral lists this unclassified non-coding RNA (499 nucleotides) under Mycoplasmopsis ciconiae. RNAcentral describes it as "Mycoplasma ciconiae partial contains 16S ribosomal RNA and 16S-23S ribosomal RNA intergenic spacer". The stretch from base 1 to 151 matches the Rfam family "Bacterial small subunit ribosomal RNA", at positions 1381 to 1533 of the family's 1533-position model. The record is from RNAcentral. Lineage: Bacteria; Bacillati; Mycoplasmatota; Mycoplasmoidales; Metamycoplasmataceae.